This 253-nucleotide ribosomal RNA is filed under the name uncultured bacterium. RNAcentral describes it as "partial 16S ribosomal RNA". It matches the Rfam family "Bacterial small subunit ribosomal RNA", at positions 524 to 776 of the family's 1533-position model. The record is from RNAcentral.
UACGUAGGGGGCAAGCGUUGUCCGGAAUCAUUGGGCGUAAAGAGCGUGUAGGCGGCCCGGUAAGUCCGCUGUGAAAGUCCAGGGCUCAACCCUGGGAUGCCGGUGGAUACUGGCGGGCUCGAGUCCGGAAGAGGAGUGUGGAAUUCCUGGUGUAGCGGUGAAAUGCGCAGAUAUCAGGAGGAACACCAAUGGCGAAGGCAGCACUCUGGGACGUGACUGACGCUGAGACGCGAAAGCGUGGGGAGCAAACAGG